Molecule: ribosomal RNA, 253 nt
Filed under: uncultured bacterium
Lineage: Bacteria
Description: partial 16S ribosomal RNA
Rfam family: Bacterial small subunit ribosomal RNA
Source: RNAcentral
UACGGAGGGGGCUAGCGUUGUUCGGAAUUACUGGGCGUAAAGCGUGCGUAGACGGUUAUGUAAGUCGGGUGUGAAAGCCCCGGGCUCAACCUGGGAAUGCCAUUCGAGACUGCAUAGCUAGGGUGCGGAAGAGGGAAGCGGAAUUUCCGGUGUAGCGGUGAAAUGCGUAGAUAUCGGAAGGAACACCAGUGGCGAAAGCGGCUUCCUGGUCCAGCACCGACGUUCAGGCACGAAAGCGUGGGGAGCAAACAGG